GACCUCUUAGCUCAGUGGUAGAGCGUGAGAUUCCAGUUGGCUCACCAGCCUGGCCUCCUCAAGGUCGUCCGUUCAAUCCGGGCAGGGGUCA
This 91-nucleotide transfer RNA is filed under the name Rhizoctonia solani. RNAcentral describes it as "tRNA-Trp". It matches the Rfam family "tRNA". From Rfam's summary of the family: Transfer RNA (tRNA) molecules are approximately 80 nucleotides in length. Their secondary structure includes four short double-helical elements and three loops (D, anti-codon, and T loops). The record is from RNAcentral. Lineage: Eukaryota; Fungi; Basidiomycota; Agaricomycetes; Cantharellales; Ceratobasidiaceae.